UGGGGAAUAUUGCGCAAUGGGGGAAACCCUGACGCAGCAACGCCGCGUGAAUGAUGAAGGCCUUCGGGUUGUAAAGUUCUGUCUUCUGGGACGAUAAUGACGGUACCAGAGGAGGAAGCCACGGCUAACUACGUGCCAGCAGCCGCGGUAAUACGUAGGUGGCAAGCGUUGUCCGGAUUUACUGGGCGUAAAGGAUGCGUAGGCGGACAUUUAAGUCAGAUGUGAAAUACCCGAGCUUAACUUGGGUGC
RNAcentral lists this ribosomal RNA (249 nucleotides) under uncultured Clostridium sp. Its description in RNAcentral is "partial 16S ribosomal RNA". It matches the Rfam family "Bacterial small subunit ribosomal RNA", at positions 355 to 621 of the family's 1533-position model. Lineage: Bacteria; Bacillati; Bacillota; Clostridia; Eubacteriales; Clostridiaceae. The record is from RNAcentral.